GCUUGUGUGCGUGGCAGGAAGAUAUUUUAAUUAAUUAAUUAAAAAGUAAUAAUAUUUUUAUAAUAUCGAUUACAAAAAAUCUUUGACAACUUUUUACUUUUUAAUUUUAUAUUGUAUGCUGGUUUCUAAUAAUAAAUAAGAAAAUUAAUAUAUUUAUUAAUAUAUUCAAUAUAUAUACGAUGACGCAACGCGCAUGCGCCGCGCGAGUUACUAAACUUGCCAGUGGACAGGACAGCCAUUUUGUCUUCGGUGGUGAUCAGCUCAACACGUAUCGUUCUCAUUAAAUUCAAAUUACCAGGAAUUCUAUAGAUUGUAAAAACAGCAUAGAAUAAGGUGGGGAGAAAUGUUCGCGCGAGCCGUAAUACAACACAACGAUAUAUAGUGUAUCAUUUUUCAUCAUGCUGGAGCAGGAUGCUCAUAGUGCAAGAAUCAACGAAGAUUUAAAAUCGUGCGCGAGCAUUAAAUAAAUCUAGUAUUGUAUCGCUAAAUUAAAAAAACGAAACUAGAGACGAAACAAGAGCAGUGCUUGUUUAUUAAUAAAAAUUUUUAAUUAACAGUUCAUGAAAAGUUUAUUAAAUUACAAUUCGUUAAAUCAACUAUGAGGAGUUUGAAAUAAGUGUAUUGUAUCGAUUGUGUGCAAAACAAUCAGUUAUAGAAUCAAUGUUUGUUCGUACAAAGUUUUAUUUUUAUAUUUGAUAGACUGUAGUUAUAUUUAAACAGUAAAUUAAAUUCAAUGUUAUCACGUAAUAAAUAAAUUAUUGUCGCGUAUUAGAAUCAGUGUAUUUUAGAAAAUAAUCAAGAAAUCAGUACACAUCUUUUGUAACAAAAUAUUAGCAAGUAACAUGAUAAAUUUUAUAAACCAUAAUUUUCAUUAAUUCGUCGUGAUAAUAAAUUUAUUCGAAAUUUGUUUUAAAUCUUUUUGCAGAUGAUCAUCGUUAUAAUAAUCCACAAAAGUUUCAAUUUAGAACAGUUUGUUAAUCUAUCUAAUUUUCAAUUUAUUAUGGAUCAACAUAUCGUCAAUUUUCUUCAAUUUCGAGGUACAAAGAGGACGAGUUUUUUAAUGCCAUCAGAGAAUUUCUUAAUUAAUUAAUUAAAAUUUAGUCUUAAAAAUUUCUUAUGAGCUGCAAAAUUUAAAUCAAGCAAUAACGAGUAUACAAGUCGUACGUAGAGAAAAUGUUCCUAUUAUAAAUUUUAUAAAAAAAACAAAGCAAGUCGAAGAAGGAUUACAUUUUUAUUUGAUAAAAAAUUGUUGAAAAAGAUAUUGUUAUAAAAAAUUUUUAAACUACCAAA
Vespula vulgaris is the source of this 1290-nucleotide long non-coding RNA. RefSeq lists it as uncharacterized. The record is from RefSeq and is a predicted model, not a curated record. NCBI's taxonomy places the organism in Eukaryota, Metazoa, Arthropoda, Insecta, Hymenoptera, Vespidae. The transcript has 4 exons.